This 253-nucleotide ribosomal RNA is filed under the name uncultured bacterium. Its description in RNAcentral is "partial 16S ribosomal RNA". It matches the Rfam family "Bacterial small subunit ribosomal RNA", at positions 524 to 776 of the family's 1533-position model. The record is from RNAcentral.
UACGAAGGGGGCUAGCGUUGUUCGGAAUCACUGGGCGUAAAGCGCACGCAGGCGGAUCGUUAAGUCAGGGGUGAAAUGCCGAGGCUCAACCUCGGAACUGCCUUCGAUACUGCGGGUCUCGAGUCCGGGAGAGGUGAGUGGAAUUCCUAGUGUAGAGGUGAAAUUCGUAGAUAUUCGCAAGAACACCAGUGGCGAAGGCGGCUCACUGGCCCGAUACUGACGCUGAGGCACGAAAGCGUGGGGAGCAAACAGG